AGCGAACGCUGGCGGCAGGCCUAAAACAUGCAAGUCGAACGCCCGUAGCAAUACGGGAGUGGCAGACGGGUGAGUAACACGUGGGAACGUACCCUUUGGUUCGGAACAACACAGGGAAACUUGUGCUAAUACCGGAUAAGCCCUUACGGGGAAAGAUUUAUCGCCAGAGGAUCGGCCCGCGUCUGAUUAGCUUGUUGGUGAGGUAACGGCUCACCAAGGCUACGAUCAGUAGCUGGUCUGAGAGGAUGAUCAGCCACACUGGGACUGAGACAC
RNAcentral lists this ribosomal RNA (273 nucleotides) under uncultured bacterium. Its description in RNAcentral is "partial 16S ribosomal RNA". It matches the Rfam family "Bacterial small subunit ribosomal RNA", at positions 29 to 327 of the family's 1533-position model. The record is from RNAcentral.